CCGGUAGUAAACAAAAGGAAGUAAUAAAAAGUAUAAAAAAGUAUAAUAACUGACUGAGAAACCAAGUUUGUGUCCAUUUCUCGGUUUUCUAUAGGCCUCUUACAAAACGGAGUUCAAGUUGGCUGUGCUAAUGCAAUCAUUUUUCACUCACAUUCAAAGUGUUAAACAGUUAAGAAAAAACUUAAUAAAAACACAUCGAAAAUUUCAAAAAUCUGUGCGUACAAAACCUAAAGGUAAGCGAGAUGCUUGGAAAUAUACAAGUUUUUCUGAAGUUUUGACAGUCUUUUAGACCAUGUCUUUGCGACGAAGCAUAAGGAUUGAGCUUGCUGCCAGGGCUGCCGCCGCCACCCGGAAUGAAACUAGUAGCGCCGUCCAGCGUACUGCAACCCACCGCAUAAGGAAUCGGCGUGCUGCCACCGCCACCCGAAAUGCUACUAGUAGCGCCGUACAACGUCAUGCUACCCACCGCAUAAGGAAUCGGCGUGCUGCCACCGCUAUCCGAAAUGCUACUAGUAGCGCCGUACAACGGCCACGGGGCGGUGGCCCCAAGGGACGUCUUGUCCGUGAGCUAAAAGAAAUAAUGCUCAAUCCAACGGACGGUUGCCAUGUGAAGAUCGUUGAAGACGAUAUAACCCACUGGCACUGCAUUAUUCACGGCCCUUCCAAUUCUCCCUAUGAGGGAGGGCACUUUAAAUUGGAUGUAUUAUUUCCAGAUAACUACCCGUAUGUCCCGCCUCAUGUACAAUUUACGACUCAGAUUUACCACUGCAACAUCACCAGUGGCGGCCACAUAUGCCUGGACAUACUAUCGAACAACUGGUCGCCUAUCUUGACGGCAGAUAAAGUUCUCCUAUCGAUCAUGUCGCUGCUAGCAGAUCCCAAUCCUGACGACCCCAUGGAAAUCGUAGUUGCCAACAUGUACAAGAGGGACCGAGAGCAGCACGACCGAGUCGCCAGAGAGUGGACCACACUCUACGCCAUGCCAUAAGUUAUAUUUUGAUAAGCAUGCACAUAAUGCACAGUAACACCACCCAGAAAUUCAUACCCAUAUUCAUGCAAAUAUCAGAAUUCUUAUGACAAUUUCCUGAAGAUCUUUAACAAAAACUAUAUCGUGUGUUCCAC
Molecule: long non-coding RNA, 1122 nt
Filed under: Drosophila guanche
Lineage: Eukaryota; Metazoa; Arthropoda; Insecta; Diptera; Drosophilidae
Source: RNAcentral